AGCCACUUCGUUAGGCUAUCAUUUGUGGCCAGGUCGGUUCUGAAAAAUAGCUCUGGUAAAAUAAAAAAUGGUUUCAUUUAUAGUCUACAUAGGAUUGACUUCCCAGGAAGUAACACUCAUUGUAUAAACCCCAGAAGAAUAUUGUUUUGAGUCACCCAAACCAGAAUGUGAACUGAUAUAUUCGUAUUUUCAAGCGAGGUUCUCGGCCACAGACCACCUGGACAAAUAUGAUGUAGUUUAGUUUGCAUAUGAAUUAUUACUUGGGGUUUGUUGACAUGAUAAAGUUAAUGUUUUCUUUGACAGGUCUAUUGUGUUGUACACUGACAGGGGCUCAGGCUUGUUGGGGCAGCAUCUGGCUGAAAUGCACCUUCACAACAGGAAGAUUGGAGAGAGGCUUCACAAGGAAGAGAAAACUAUCGCUGAAUGAGUGGCAGGAGGACUGGGUGACGUUCUUCUCACGGCAGCGACUGCAGCUUCAGCUGGACAUGAUAGAGAAGGACUACGGUGAACGGGAAACCCGCGAGCUCUGGUCUCGGCUUCAGCUUCGGUUGGGGGAAUUUUUCCGGGACGUAGAGGUGGUUCCGGCACUGCUCCACGGUGACCUAUGGACUGGGAACGCUGCAGAGAUUAAUGAAGGGCCCGUCAUCUUUGACCCAGCCUCCUUCUAUAGGCACUCGGAGUACGAGCUUGCCAUCGCUGGGAUGUUCCAGGAGCUUUAGCUCCACGCUUCACUCAUCCUACCACGCUCUCAUCCCAAAGUCACAAGGCUUCGGCAAGAAGCCAGAAGCUCUAGCAACUCUUCCACUACCUGAACCACUGGAAUCACUUUGGGACAGGAUACCGAGGGUCAUCCAUCUCCACCAUGCGCAGUCUCCUCAAGUGAAUGAACGGUGAUGCAAUUGGUGUGCCAACACCUCCAGAUGCAGUUCCUGAAGGACCUGGGCAUUCGGGACAUGUUCGUUUUGCCUGUGAUGAAUGAGUUUGUCCGAACACACAGGGAAGUCAGCCUGUUCAUCGAGAAUUUCUGAGGAGCCAAAGACCAAGCUGGAAUAUUGCAAGGGAGGGAUACUCUGGGGGGCCCUUUCUUUGCCAGGACUCAAACGGCCGCUGGUUGCUUUCUGGAAUCACCAGCUGGGGUGUUGGCUGUGCACGGGCAUACCAGCCAGGUGUCUAGCGCACAGUCGCCAAGUUCAUGGACUGGAUUCACCAGAACAUGCAGUAGUCUCUUAUACAUUUCUGCACAAGCAGAAUACUAUAGAUCAGGGAUAUAAAUAUUAUGGGAACUAUAACAUCAAAAUAAUUAAUUAAGGCAAUAAAUAUAUUUUUCUAAAACUGAUUUAAAGUUAAUGUUAAAAGGUUAAUUUAAUGAGCUGAAUGCUAUAUUUUAACUGCACCAUAAUGCAAAAAAAAUUCCAAGUGAACACAGAUUUUGGGUCAAAUCAGAAAAGUAUUUUUUUUACAUGCGUUGUCAAUAGCGUUUUUAUCUUUUGGGUUUGCCACACAUGUCAACGGGCCUGGCAAAGCAAACAUGAGCAUGAUGUUGGCAUUGGCAGGAGAUGAAGACAGAGCUUGCUAUUUUUCAAUGUUGCUUAAUUCUUUCAAAACUGACACAAUGGACAAUGAAUGCACUGUCUAAAUAUUUGGCCCAACCUGAUUAUACAUGCUAGCAAAGUGAGUGUUGUCCAAACUACGUAUGAUACAUUUAUAUUCUUGUUAUAUUUUGACCUGGGUCAUCAACUCGCAUCUCCCAUACAUUAAUUGCCAUGGAUGUUGAGCAGUAGGGGUACUCAGAGGGGGUCUAUUGGCCUUCUAGGGGACCACUGCAAUGAUCGGGGCAUCCAGAAGGGAUGAUGAGUUCCACAGGGAGAACGUUCUUCAAGGUUGCCUUUAGAGUGUCCAUGGCAAGGUUAUUGGUGAUUACCUUCACCUCCCCCGGUCAACACAGUCCAUGAGUUUGUGAGUUUUGCUUUACUAACGACAUGAAAACAAGACUGGUUUGCACAAGGAGCCUGCAAAAAUUUUAUUUAGAAAACCUCAUGAAACUGUGAUGCAUGGCACUUAUCUGAGACGCCCCUUAUCUGAGACGCCCCUGUGUAAAUGGCGUGAUAUCAAGACCAUUAUUAUCAUAGUGAACUACAUGACGUGUGUAAGAAAACUAUAUAAACAUCUAUUGGAAACAUUUCAUGAAAAUAUGUACAAAAAUGAACACUUUAAUAGUGUUUCAUGGUAUUCCAAAAAUUUAGACAUAUUGAUUGGUUAAGAUGGUUUACUCGUUGGGAUGAUAAAUGGCAAUGAUCCUUCAUCAUGUAAAAGACUGUAAGCUGCUUUCAAAAAUAUAUAUUUUUUGAAGAUCGUAUUCACACUCUGCAACAGUCUAUUUUCCACAUCAAACCAUAACGUGUCUGUCGACUGCAAUUGAAAAUUGAUGCAUGCUUAGUAGCGAUCGGGUGAAUAAACAUUGCAAUGUGUCACA
Non-coding RNA from Petromyzon marinus (sea lamprey), 2473 nucleotides. NCBI's taxonomy places the organism in Eukaryota, Metazoa, Chordata, Hyperoartia, Petromyzontiformes, Petromyzontidae. The record is from RefSeq and is a predicted model, not a curated record.